This 506-nucleotide ribosomal RNA is filed under the name uncultured bacterium. RNAcentral's name for it is "partial 16S ribosomal RNA". It matches the Rfam family "Bacterial small subunit ribosomal RNA", at positions 29 to 523 of the family's 1533-position model. The record is from RNAcentral.
AGUGAACGCUGGCGGUAGGCCUAACACAUGCAAGUCGAACGGCAGCACAGGAGAGCUUGCUCUCUGGGUGGCGAGUGGCGGACGGGUGAGGAAUACAUCGGAAUCUACUUUUUCGUGGGGGAUAACGUAGGGAAACUUACGCUAAUACCGCAUACGACCUACGGGUGAAAGCAGGGGACCUUCGGGCCUUGCGCGAUUGAAUGAGCCGAUGUCGGAUUAGCUAGUUGGCGGGGUAAAGGCCCACCAAGGCGACGAUCCGUAGCUGGUCUGAGAGGAUGAUCAGCAACACUGGAACUGAGACACGGUCCAGACUCCUACGGGAGGCAGCAGUGGGGAAUAUUGGACAAUUGGCGCAAGCCUGAUCCAGCCAUACCGCGUGGGUGAAGAAGGCCUUCGGGUUGUAAAGCCCUUUUGUUGGGAAAGAAAUCCAGCUGGCUAAUACCCGGUUGGGAUGACGGUACCCAAAGAAUAAGCACCGGCUAACUUCGUGCCAGCAGCCGCGGUAA